GACGAACGCUGGCGGCGUGCCUAAUACAUGCAAGUAGAACGCUGAAGCUUGGUGCUUGCACCGAGCGGAUGAGUUGCGAACGGGUGAGUAACGCGUAGGUAACCUGCCUGGUAGCGGGGGAUAACUAUUGGAAACGAUAGCUAAUACCGCAUAAAAUGGAUUAUCGCAUGAUAAUCCAUUGAAAGGUGCAAAUGCAUCACUACCAGAUGGACCUGCGUUGUAUUAGCUAGUUGGUGGGGUAACGGCUCACCAAGGCGACGAUAUAUAGCCGACCUGAGAGGGUGAUCGGCCACACUGGGACUGAGACACGGCCCAGACUCCUACGGGAGGCAGCAGUAGGGAAUCUUCGGCAAUGGACGGAAGUCUGACCGAGCAACGCCGCGUGAGUGAAGAAGGUUUUCGGAUCGUAAAGCUCUGUUGUAAGAGAAGAACGAGUGUGAGAGUGGAAAGUUCACACUGUGACGGUAUCUUACCA
This 475-nucleotide ribosomal RNA is filed under the name Streptococcus sp. oral taxon 070. Its description in RNAcentral is "bacterial SSU rRNA". It matches the Rfam family "Bacterial small subunit ribosomal RNA", at positions 28 to 485 of the family's 1533-position model. The record is from RNAcentral. Lineage: Bacteria; Bacillati; Bacillota; Bacilli; Lactobacillales; Streptococcaceae.